UGGGCCUGUAGCGCAGUUGGGAGCGCGUUCGGUUCGCAUCCGAGAGGUCGAGGGUUCGAAUCCCUUCAGGUCCACCA
This 77-nucleotide transfer RNA is filed under the name Intestinimonas butyriciproducens. Its description in RNAcentral is "tRNA-Ala". It matches the Rfam family "tRNA". Rfam says of the family: Transfer RNA (tRNA) molecules are approximately 80 nucleotides in length. Lineage: Bacteria; Bacillati; Bacillota; Clostridia; Eubacteriales. The record is from RNAcentral.